CAUCUGGAACUUGGCAUACUCAUUGUUUUCCUGUACCAUGUGUUUGUAUGUGAUGGAGGACAAUAAAAAGUCCAGUGCUAUGUCUUUGGUGCCAGAAAGCUAAUUUUCUUCUGGUUCUAUCCUCAGUCACUGGUAGAUUU
RNAcentral lists this small nucleolar RNA (140 nucleotides) under Mola mola (ocean sunfish). RNAcentral's name for it is "Small nucleolar RNA SNORA57 (ENSMMOG00000009670.1)". It matches the Rfam family "Small nucleolar RNA SNORA57". Rfam says of the family: U99 belongs to the H/ACA class of snoRNAs which are thought to guide the sites of modification of uridines to pseudouridines, the target for this family is unknown. The record is from Rfam by way of RNAcentral. Lineage: Eukaryota; Metazoa; Chordata; Actinopteri; Tetraodontiformes; Molidae.